CAAAAAAAAAGGAACCCUGCAAUGGCUAAUAUAACACCCCAAGUCUAAGUUGUCUAGAAUAUAAUCCUUGGAGUCUCGUAUUGAUAGUCGAUAAUUGAAAUUACAUUACUUCAGACUUUACAUAUCAUAAAUUUUAACUUGAAACACAAACAUGCCACUUGACUAACUCAUUAGUCCAUGAUUCACAAAAGAAAUUACAACUAAUGUACGAGAUAAUUAAGUUUCACAGUAAAUGGUUGAAAAAGCCUUUGCACAAAAUAACUUAAAGAGUAAUACAAAAGUUGGAUCAUAAAGAGUCUCCGCUCCAUUGAGUUUAACCCACGUCAUUCUUACCCUUUGAAACCUGCUUAUCUGAAAAAUAAAAUUUAAGCAGAAUGGGGUGAGAUUACAUCUAAGUGGAUUCCCUACUAAAAAAACCAAUAAUGACCUCCACCAAAGAAUCUCAUUUUUUACACCGAUCACAAUGACUCACACAAUGUAAGCAUGAUCCUACAUUUCCUUAAUCAUAUGAUUGUAUACUUUUCACCUUCGAUAAUCAUAAUCUUGUAUUAACACAUAUGCAAACAGCCAUAUUAUCGAGAGUGAGGAACUCAACAAUAUUCACCUAUUGGUGAGUGUUAACAUAAUUAAUCAUACUCACCGACUAUACAUCACUAACCAUUCAACUUGUAAAUAUGUGUUAACCAAGCACUCAGAUUACCCCACGUAAGCUUAAGGUUGAACACCAAGACGAAUGCAAUAUGUGUUUACAUAUCUAAUAAACAGUCACAACAAUAGUAAUCACAACUCUUCGAUGGAUUGGUUCUCACAUCUAAAGAGGGUCAAAUAUUAAGUAUCUCAAGAUUCACAAUUUCGAACAUUUUAAAUUUAUUUUAUGAGUAUCAUCAUCAUAAGAAUAUAUAUAUUAUAUAUAUUUAUUAUAUAUAUUAUAUAUAUAUAUAUAUAUUAUAUAUAUAUAUAUAUAUAUUAUAUAUAUAUAUAUAUAUAUUAUAAUAUAUUAUAUAUAUAUAUAUAUAUUAUAUAUAUUAUAAUAUAUAUUAUAUUAGACUUGUCUAUCUUACUAAAAAUUUGAUAUCAAUGCUAAAUAUCCCUACUAAUUUUACCAAUCUUACUAAUUGAUAAAAAUAAUAAUAUUUUAUGCCAACUGUCAAAUAUUAGAAUGAAUUACUAACUAAUUCAAUCAUACCAAUUCAAAGAUUUGAAUUCAAAUAACCACAAAACAUCCAUAAAACCAAACAAUUGUUACUACUAAUUUUCUCCAAAAUAGGACAGCAAAAACUAUCAUCUUAUAACUCAGUUUUCUCUAUCAAUAUUCAAUGGGUUUCAAAAAAACUAGUGCAUACUUUGAAGGUAAUUGAGGAAGUUUCUAUUGACACUAAAAUAAACUCAACCGGAGUUCCAUACCUACAAUUAUAGCAAAAACAUUACAGUACCCUCAAAACAACAUUUAAAUUGUUAGCUGAACUUGCAACAUGGUUUACUCAAUCAAAACCUAAUGAAAAUGAGUAUCCAUAGUAUAUCUUGUGUGUAUUUUUGUCUACUUAUCAUUCAUGUAAAAAUGAAGUUUAAAUGAUUUACGAGAAGUUAUGGGCAAAUUACCACAUGGUGUCAAAAGCAGGUCUGCAGAAUUUUCAGAAUAAUAAACAAUUUCCACUAACCCUAACUUCCUAUGAGAAAUCUAACUUCAUAAGUUACUACUAAAUCAUAUAACAAGAGAUUAAUUAUUAAUAGAAAUCACCUUGAAAAAAUCUGAUUCCUUUAAGCUUGAGUUCUUGAAGUUUACAUAAUCCUCUUAAAGCUCUUUCCUUUGAUUCAAAUCUCCCUACGACUUCACCUACAGUCCAAAAUAUGGACUAGAGAGUUCAAGAGACACAUGUAAAUAUUUAUUAUUGAAUUAGAAAUCAAUAGAAUCUUGUUCUUUCUAGGUGUUUGGAUUACCAUGAAAGCACCUCAUAAAGCUUGGUUUGGGGGAAGAAUGAAAAAUAGAUUUUGGUGGGUGAGGUAGAUAUUCUGUCGAUUAGAGAGAGGAAGGAGGAGUUCCGGAUUUUUGUCAAAAUAGCUAACAUAAUACCCAAGACAGAUUAC
RNAcentral lists this long non-coding RNA (2085 nucleotides) under Lathyrus oleraceus (garden pea). RNAcentral describes it as "Pisum sativum (pea) long non-coding RNA (PSAT_LNC019818)". Lineage: Eukaryota; Viridiplantae; Streptophyta; Magnoliopsida; Fabales; Fabaceae. The record is from RNAcentral.